This 240-nucleotide unclassified non-coding RNA is filed under the name soil metagenome. Its description in RNAcentral is "partial contains 5.8S ribosomal RNA, internal transcribed spacer 2, and large subunit ribosomal RNA". The record is from RNAcentral.
AACACUGUUAACCUGCGGUACCUGCGGAGGGAUCAUCAUUGAAAACCCAUUUGACCAAGAGGUUUGCUUGAGGGGAGGGAGGCAGAUUUUGUCUCCUGCCCUGAAAGCGGCCUCUUGGACAAACAACCAAUCUUCAUGACUAGGAAAACACACAGUGAUUUGGUGGGGGGCUGACACAAGUUCUUGUCUGACAAGUAGCUUACUGAUUUGGAGCACGCUAACUGAUACAACUUUUAACAA